Molecule: long non-coding RNA, 1372 nt
Filed under: Buteo japonicus
Lineage: Eukaryota; Metazoa; Chordata; Aves; Accipitriformes; Accipitridae
Description: lncRNA (ENSBJAG00000010565.1)
Source: RNAcentral
CCGCCGGCGGUGAGAAGCCGAGCGAAGAAGCACCGUCCCGGGACGUCCCGCUCACGAGCAGGUCUCCCGUCACUGUAAGAAAGGACUCCUCAAGUUGCAAAAUAGGUAUUUUUAGGUCCUUGUGAAAAAAAAUAAUCGGAUGUUCAGCGUGUCCGGCUGACGGUAAAGCACACAAUCCUGCCAGGCCCCAUGCGUUGGAGCUGGAGGGAGUCACCUCUUGCCUUUAAGCUGGUUUGGUGUUCAGGUUGUUUUUUCUUUGCGUUUAGGGGUUUUUUUCGAUGUUGGCUUCUUUUUCGAAGAUCGGCUUCGUCGUUGUCAUCGGAGUAAAAAAUAAAAUAAAAUAAAAUCCAAUAAAUAGGCAUUUUUAAGUGGAAUUAAAAACCUCUCCUUUGCGAAAGGACACUAUAAACUUCUCCAUCCGUUCGCACGGCGCACGAGGCUAGAUUAAAAAAACGCGGAGAUAUAAAUAUGAGAUUACCGAAAAGCGUCAAACAGCAUCGUUCCUCUUUUUUUUCAAUCGAGUUUUGCUUUGUUUGCCAACUCCUCGCCAAGCGCAGCUCUCUGACGGCAUGCGCCCGCGCCGGCUCCGCUGUUUCCGAGCGUGCGUGUUGGGUUCGCUUUCUGUGGGUUGGGUUUUUUUGUUGUUGUUGUGUUUUGCUUCGUUUUUCUCUAUUUUUUUUUUUUUUUUUUUUUUUCCCCCNNNNNNNNNNNNNNNNNNNNNNNCCACGAAGCAACGCCGGGCUCCGGCGCUGCCGAGGGUUGAGGUAAGAUGGGGCUGCGGCGGUUGCCUCCGUCUCAGAUCCAACGGCUGUAGGGGCCCGUCACCUUGGUGUAGGCGUAGGAGGACACAGUGAUGGCGGAGUUGGUGGGGAUGGCCACCGCCUGCCGCGUGGGGACCGAGUCCCUCCUCUCCUUGCUGGGCGCCUCGGUCGCCAACGCGCCGCCCCACUUGCGUUUCUUGGCGAAGGCUUUGGCGUCCGGCGGGAGACCCAGGCGUGCCGCCUCCUCUUGCCGGGCUCGAGCCCGCUCCGCCAACUGCUUCAUCUUGGCCUCCCACAGCGCCAGGCCGUGGUUGGGCUGGUUCAAGUUCUUGUGUUGGUAGAAGACCAGGGAGAUGCGGGUGGGGUGGCAGCGGUUGGGUUUCUUCAGCGGGGUGGUGGCGUGGAGCUCGCGGCGGGCGCACUCGAUGAGGAUGGAGCCGUGGGCGGGUGCCACGGCCACCCCGCCGAUGUUCUCGUCCAGGAAGUUGUGCUCGCUGUCCGACCACUCCUCCUCCUCUUCCUCGUCCUCCUCCUCCUCCUCCUCUUCCUCCUCCUUCACCGCCUUCUCCGGCAGAUCCUCCUCCAGGCCGAAGGGGUCCCACGGCUUCUCC